This 591-nucleotide ribosomal RNA is filed under the name uncultured bacterium. Its description in RNAcentral is "partial 16S ribosomal RNA". It matches the Rfam family "Bacterial small subunit ribosomal RNA", at positions 355 to 1375 of the family's 1533-position model. The record is from RNAcentral.
UGGGGAAUUUUGGACAACGGGCGAAAGCCUGAUCCAGCAAUGCCGCGUGUGUGAAGAAGGCCUUCGGGUUGUAAAGCACUUUUGUCCGGAAAGAAAUCCUUGGCUCUAAUACAGUCGGGGGAUGACGGUACCGGAAGAAUAAGCACCGGCUAACUACGUGCCAGCAGCCGCGGUAAUACGUAGGGUGCAAGCGUUAAUCGGAAUUACUGGGCGUAAAGCGUGCGCAGGCGGUUUGCUAAGACCGAUGUGAAAUCCCCGGGCUCAACCUGGGAACUGCAUUGGUGACUGGCAGGCUAGAGUAUGGCAGAGGGGGGUAGAAUUCCACGUGUAGCAGUGAAAUGCGUAGGAGAUGUGGAGGAAUACCGAUGGCGAAGGCAGCCCCCUGGGCCAAUACUGACGCUCAUGCACGAAAAGCGUGGGGGAGCAAAACAGGAUUAGAUACCCUGGUAGUCCACGCCCUAAAACGAUGUCAACUAGUUGUUGGGGAUUCAUUUCCUUAGUAACGUAGCUAACGCGUGAAGUUGACCGCCUGGGGAGUACGGUCGCAAGAUUAAAAACUCAAAGGAAUUGACGGGGUCAUAGCUGUUUCCU